GAGAUGGGGGCUACACAUUUGAAGGUCCAUAACUUUGGACCCCCUGAACCAAACUUCACCAAACAGGGAUGGUAUCAUCAGGAGGGUCUCCUGAAGAUACUUUGAAAUGUUGAGUACUGCUAACAUAAAGCAUUCCUCUCCCUUGACUUAGGUUGUGGGAAUGUCCCUUCUGGAAAUGAAGCACCUGCAAGCAUGUGCAAUUU
Molecule: long non-coding RNA, 203 nt
Organism: Sphaerodactylus townsendi
Lineage: Eukaryota; Metazoa; Chordata; Lepidosauria; Squamata; Sphaerodactylidae
Exons: 2
Source: RefSeq, a predicted model, not a curated record